This 232-nucleotide unclassified non-coding RNA is filed under the name uncultured fungus. Its description in RNAcentral is "sequence contains ITS1". Lineage: Eukaryota; Fungi. The record is from RNAcentral.
GUAUUGUAUUGCGUUAAACGCGGCAUACAUUCCAUGAGACUUUGUUACGGUGUGUGUGUAAAGACGUAGGACCACGGCAAGGGGACGAGGUCCCCAAGGCCACAGAACUACAGAGGGUGCACAGGUGUGAGUGGAUGUGUAAACAGAGCGUGCACGUGCCCCCUUUCGAGGGCCAGCAACAGCUCAUGUCGACGGUUCGGUAAUGAUCCUUCCGCAGGUUCACCUACGGAAA